Molecule: small RNA, 452 nt
Filed under: Pongo abelii (Sumatran orangutan)
Lineage: Eukaryota; Metazoa; Chordata; Mammalia; Primates; Hominidae
Description: retained intron
Source: RNAcentral
AGCCAGGGCUCCCGAGGUCUGACUGCCCCACCUCCUGCCCUCAGCAGAGAAGCCUGUGUUCUUCCCAGCCUUCGCAGCCGAGGCCCAGAAGCUGCCUGGGGACCCCCCUUGCUGGACUUCCGGCCUGCCCUUCCCCGUGCCCCCCCGUGAGGUGAUCAAGUCCUCCCCACAUGCCCCGGACCCCUCAGCCUUCUCCUACGCUCCACCUGGUCACCCGCUGCCCCUGGGCCUCCAUGACACUGCCCGGCCCGUCCUGCCACGCCCGCCCACCAUCUCCAACCCACCUCCCCUCAUCUCCUCUGCCAAGCACCCCAGCGUCCUCGAGAGGCAAAUAGGUGCCAUCUCCCAGGGAAUGUCGGUCCAGCUCCACGUCCCGUACUCAGAGCAUGCCAAGGCUCCGGUGGGCCCUGUCACCAUGGGGCUGCCCCUGCCCAUGGACCCCAAAAAGCUGG